GAUGAACGCUGGCGGCGUGCCUAAUACAUGCAAGUCGAGCGAACGGACGAGAAGCUUGCUUCUCUGAUGUUAGCGGCGGACGGGUGAGUAACACGUGGAUAACCUACCUAUAAGACUGGGAUAACUUCGGGAAACCGGAGCUAAUACCGGAUAAUAUUUUGAACCGCAUGGUUCACAAGUGAAAGACGGUCUUGCUGUCUCUUAUAGAUGGAUCCGCGCUGCAUUAGCUAGUUGGUAAGGUAACGGCUUACCAAGGCAACGAUGCAUAGCCGACCUGAGAGGGUGAUCGGCCACACUGGAACUGAGACACGGUCCAGACUCCUACGGGAGGCAGCAGUGGGGAAUCUUCCGCAAUGGGCGAAAGCCUGACGGAGCAACGCCGCGUGAGUGAUGAAGGUCUUCGGAUCGUAAAACUCUGUUAUUAGGGAAGAACAUAUGUGUAAGUAACUGGGCACAUCUUGACGGUACCGAAUCAGAAAGCCACGGCUAACUACGUG
RNAcentral lists this ribosomal RNA (497 nucleotides) under uncultured bacterium. Its description in RNAcentral is "partial 16S ribosomal RNA". It matches the Rfam family "Bacterial small subunit ribosomal RNA", at positions 28 to 507 of the family's 1533-position model. The record is from RNAcentral.